AGCUCCAAUAGCGUAUAUUAAAGUUGUUGCAGUUAAAAAGCUCGUAGUUGGAUUUCUGGCUAGGUGAAGCGUUCCCCAAGUUGGGUGCGAUGCGGCGCCUUGCCAUCCUUCUGUUAACCUGGGAAGCCUUCACGGCGGCCCACGGGGCUCAGAUAUUUUACCUUGAGAAAAUUAGAGUGUUUCAGGCAGGCUAGCGCCGGAAUACAUUAGCAUGGAAUAAUAGAAUAGGACUUCUGCCUCUUCUGUUGGUCUGAGGGGUUCAAGUAAUGAUUAAUAGGGAUAGUUGGGGGCAUUAGUACUUAACUGUCAGAGGUGAAAUUCUCGGAUUUGUUAAAGACUAACUUAUGCGAAAGCAUUUGCCAAGGAUGUUUUCAUUA
RNAcentral lists this ribosomal RNA (377 nucleotides) under Pelagostrobilidium sp. Its description in RNAcentral is "partial small subunit ribosomal RNA". It matches the Rfam family "Eukaryotic small subunit ribosomal RNA", at positions 587 to 975 of the family's 1831-position model. Lineage: Eukaryota; Ciliophora; Spirotrichea; Choreotrichida; Strobilidiidae. The record is from RNAcentral.